This 506-nucleotide ribosomal RNA is filed under the name uncultured bacterium. RNAcentral's name for it is "partial 16S ribosomal RNA". It matches the Rfam family "Bacterial small subunit ribosomal RNA", at positions 29 to 523 of the family's 1533-position model. The record is from RNAcentral.
AGUGAACGCUGGCGGUAGGCCUAACACAUGCAAGUCGAACGGCAGCACAGAGGAGCUUGCUCCUUGGGUGGCGAGUGGCGGACGGGUGAGGAAUACAUCGGAAUCUACUCUGUCGUGGGGGAUAACGUAGGGAAACUUACGCUAAUACCGCAUACGACCUACGGGUGAAAGCAGGGGAUCUUCGGACCUUGCGCGAUUGAAUGAGCCGAUGUCGGAUUAGCUAGUUGGCGGGGGAAAGGCCCACCAAGGCGACGAUCCGUAGCUGGUCUGAGAGGAUGAUCAGCCACACUGGAACUGAGACACGGUCCAGACUCCUACGGGAGGCAGCAGUGGGGAAUAUUGGACAAUGGGCGCAAGCCUGAUCCAGCCAUACCGCGUGGGUGAAGAAGGCCUUCGGGUUGUAAAGCCCUUUUGUUGGGAAAGAAAUCCGGCUGGCUAAUACCCGGUUGGGAUGACGGUACCCAAAGAAUAAGCACCGGCUAACUUCGUGCCAGCAGCCGCGGUAA